GCCAGUGUGCUGUAGUGGUUUAAGCACUGGACUAUAAUUCUGGAAACCAGAGUUCAAAUCCUGGUUUGGCU
Non-coding RNA from Phrynosoma platyrhinos (Desert horned lizard), 71 nucleotides. Lineage: Eukaryota; Metazoa; Chordata; Lepidosauria; Squamata; Phrynosomatidae. The record is from the annotation of a GenBank genome assembly.